RNAcentral lists this ribosomal RNA (508 nucleotides) under uncultured Glomeraceae. Its description in RNAcentral is "SSU rRNA". It matches the Rfam family "Eukaryotic small subunit ribosomal RNA", at positions 569 to 1078 of the family's 1831-position model. The record is from RNAcentral. Lineage: Eukaryota; Fungi; Glomeromycota; Glomeromycetes; Glomerales; Glomeraceae.
AGCAGCCGCGGUAAUUCCAGCCCCAAUAGCGUAUAUUAAAGUUGUUGCAGUUAAAAAGCUCGUAGUUGAAUUUCGGGAUCAAUAUUUCGGUCAUGCCGUUGGUAUGCACUGUUAUCAUUGAUUUCUCACCUUCUAAAGAACCGUAAUGCCAUUAAUUUGGUGUUACGGGGAAUUAGGACUGUUACCUUGAAAAAUUAGAGUGUUUAAAGCAGGCUCACGCUUGAAUACAUUAGCAUGGAAUAAUGAAAUAGGACAUCCGAUUCUAUUUUGUUGGUUUCUAGGAUCGAUGUAAUGAUUAAUAGGGAUAGUUGGGGGCAUUAGUAUUCAAUUGUCAGAGGUGAAAUUCUUGGAUUUAUUGAAGACUAACUACUGCGAAAGCAUUUGCCAAGGAUGUUUUCAUUAAUCAAGAACGAAAGUUAGGGGAUCGAAGACGAUCAGAUACCGUCGUAGUCUUAACCAUAAACUAUGCCGACUAGGGAUCGGAUGAUGUUUAAUUUUUAAUGACUCA